UACGAAGGGGGGCGAGCGUUGUUCGGAAUCACUGGGCGUAAAGGGCGCGUAGGCGGCCUCUCUUGUCGCGUGUGAAAGCCCCCGGGCUCAACCUCGGAACUGCACUGGAUACUGCCUUGCUAGAGAUCUGGAGAGGAAACUGGAAUUUACGGUGUAGCAGUGAAAUGCGUAGAGAUCGUAAGGAAGACCAGUGGCGAAGGCGAGUUUCUGGACAGAUUCUGACGCUGAGGCACGAAGGCCAGGGGGAGCAAACGGGG
This 257-nucleotide ribosomal RNA is filed under the name uncultured bacterium. RNAcentral's name for it is "partial 16S ribosomal RNA". It matches the Rfam family "Bacterial small subunit ribosomal RNA", at positions 524 to 777 of the family's 1533-position model. The record is from RNAcentral.